Long non-coding RNA from Myotis lucifugus (little brown bat), 940 nucleotides. RefSeq lists it as uncharacterized. The transcript has 3 exons. NCBI's taxonomy places the organism in Eukaryota, Metazoa, Chordata, Mammalia, Chiroptera, Vespertilionidae. The record is from RefSeq and is a predicted model, not a curated record.
GAAGGAGGCCCAGUUCUCCAGGGAAUUUAAUUCCUGAGCUUUUGGUCGUCUCUUGACCCAGCCGAGCAAAGCUGACUAAUGUGAGACCGCACCCUAAAAGUACUGUGUGUGUUGACCCUGAAGGCUUAGUAAGACAUCGCGAUCCUGGUCAUUUGGGCGCAUUGAGUCAUGGCCCAACAGAUUUACUCCGUUAUUAAAUUAGAAGAAGCCAACAGAAGAGUGGCCCAUGUGCAUGGACAGGGCUGGAGUGAUUCUUGCUUCAACAGCAGUCCCUUCAACCUUGCUUGAAUGGAGGCCGCGUAGAUCACAAGCUCCACAGACUACAAGAUAUCUUUGCUCAGAAGGAACCACAAGGUCACUGACAGCUAGACUCAACAUUGUUCCCCCGCAUAUCAAACUAAGCAGAGUUGUAAAUUGUUUCAACUUAUGAAUAGAACUCCACUGAACCACACCAUAGCUAUAGAGUUGACCUGCAGUUUUACCCUGCUAAGGGAGUUAUUUUGUAGUGACAAAACUUUUCUUCUGGUGGCCUGACACAUCAUGGGACUUGGAGGUUGGGAAUUCUUCCUUCCCAUCAAAUGUUGGUUCUAAAUCCACAGAACUGUUUGAGAAUCCAGAUACAAAAUGAUGAUACUAUUGAUGAUUUGAUUCGAAAAGAUGGAAGAGAUUGACAGCACAGAGAUGCCAAAAAUUUUAAAUAUAAUCUUUAAAAACUUCAUUCUUAAAAUGUGAAAGGAAGAUACACACAAGAAAAAGGCAACUGCCCUGGACACUGGCAUGUCCAAAUGUAAUGACUAGACCUGCUGCAGCCAUCUUGCAACCAGAGAGGAGGCAACUUAAAAACAAAGCCAACACAAUGAAAUGACUCAGAAGAAAGUGGAAAGACCUGAGUACUUGUUGAUGCUAUUGAGCUGAUGAAUUAAACCUGGUGUAUACCAAC